RNAcentral lists this ribosomal RNA (449 nucleotides) under uncultured bacterium. Its description in RNAcentral is "partial 16S ribosomal RNA". It matches the Rfam family "Bacterial small subunit ribosomal RNA", at positions 29 to 523 of the family's 1533-position model. The record is from RNAcentral.
AACGAACGCUGGCGGCAUGCCUAACACAUGCAAGUCGAACGAGAUCUUCGGGUCUAGUGGCGCACGGGCGCGUAACGCGUGGGAAUCUGCCCUUUGGUUCGGAAUAACAGUUGGAAACGACUGCUAAUACCGGAUGAUGACGAAAGUCCAAAGAUUUAUCGCCAGAGGAUGAGCCCGCGUAGGAUUAGCUAGUUGGUGUGGUAAGGGCGCACCAAGGCGACGAUCCUUAGCUGGUCUGAGAGGAUGAUCAGCCACACUGGGACUGAGACACGGCCCAGACUCCUACGGGAGGCAGCAGUGGGGAAUAUUGGACAAUGGGCGAAAGCCUGAUCCAGCAAUGCCGCGUGAGUGAUGAAGGCCUUAGGGUUGUAAAGCUCUUUUACCCGGGAUGAUAAUGACAGUACCGGGAGAAUAAGCUCCGGCUAACUCCGUGCCAGCCGCCGCGGUAA